RNAcentral lists this ribosomal RNA (372 nucleotides) under uncultured organism. RNAcentral describes it as "bacterial SSU rRNA". It matches the Rfam family "Bacterial small subunit ribosomal RNA", at positions 526 to 896 of the family's 1533-position model. The record is from RNAcentral.
CGAGUGCCCCGAGCGUUAUCCGGAAUCAUUGGGCGUAAAGGGUGUGUAGGUGGCAGUGUUAGUCACAUGUUAAAGCCUGGGGCUCAACCCCAGAAGUGCGUGUGAUACGGCACAGCUAGAGGAUGCGAGGGAUGUAUGGAACUCAUGGAGUAGGGGUGAAAUCCGUUGAUAUCAUGGGGAACACCAAAAGCGAAGGCAGUACAUUGGCGCACUCCUGACACUGAAACACGAAAGCGUGGGUAGCGAAUGGGAUUAGAUACCCCAGUAGUCCACGCCCUAAACGAUGACAACUAGCUUUUCGGAGAAUCGACCCUCUGAGAGGCGAAGCUAACGCGUUAAGUUGUCCGCCUGGGUAGUACGACCGCAAGGUUA